This 831-nucleotide ribosomal RNA is filed under the name uncultured bacterium. RNAcentral's name for it is "bacterial SSU rRNA". It matches the Rfam family "Bacterial small subunit ribosomal RNA", at positions 57 to 895 of the family's 1533-position model. The record is from RNAcentral.
GCAGUCGAGGGGUAUUGGUUUUCGGACCAAGAGACCGGCGCACGGGUGCGUAACGCGUAUGCAAUCUACCUUUCACAGAGGGAUAGCCCAGAGAAAUUUGGAUUAAUACCUCAUAGUAUGCAGAGUUGGCAUCAACCCUGCAUUAAAGUCACAACGGUGAAAGAUGAGCAUGCGUCCCAUUAGCUAGUUGGUAAGGUAACGGCUUACCAAGGCAACGAUGGGUAGGGGUCCUGAGAGGGAGAUCCCCCACACUGGUACUGAGACACGGACCAGACUCCUACGGGAGGCAGCAGUGAGGAAUAUUGGACAAUGGGCGCAAGCCUGAUCCAGCCAUGCCGCGUGCAGGGUGACGGUCCUAUGGAUUGUAAACUGCUUUUGUACGAGAAGAAACACUCCUUCGUGAAGGAGCUUGACGGUAUCGUAAGAAUAAGGAUCGGCUAACUCCGUGCCAGCAGCCGCGGUAAUACGGAGGAUCCAAGCGUUAUCCGGAAUCAUUGGGUUUAAAGGGUCCGUAGGCGGUUUAGUAAGUCAGUGGUGAAAGCCCAUCGCUCAACGGUGGAACGGCCAUUGAUACUGCUAGACUUGAAUUAUUAGGAAGUAACUAGAAUAUGUAGUGUAGCGGUGAAAUGCUUAGAGAUUACAUGGAAUACCAAUUGCGAAGGCAGGUUACUACUAAUGGAUUGACGCUGAUGGACGAAAGCGUGGGUAGCGAACAGGAUUAAAUACCCUGGUAGUCCACGCCGUAAACGAUGGAUACUAGCUGUUGGGAGCGAUCUCAGUGGCUAAGCGAAAGUGAUAAGUAUCCCACCUGGGGAGUACUUUCGCAAGAAU